This 386-nucleotide ribosomal RNA is filed under the name Coscinodiscus sp. RNAcentral describes it as "partial small subunit ribosomal RNA". It matches the Rfam family "Eukaryotic small subunit ribosomal RNA", at positions 587 to 975 of the family's 1831-position model. Lineage: Eukaryota; Bacillariophyta; Coscinodiscophyceae; Coscinodiscales; Coscinodiscaceae. The record is from RNAcentral.
AGCUCCAAUAGCAUAUAUUAAAGUUGUUGUAGUUAAAAAGCUCGUAGUUGGAUUUCUGGUGGGAGCAAUCAGUGUGACCUUAUGGUUUCAACUUGUAUUGUCUCUGGCCAUCUUUGGGGAGAGUCUGUCUGGCAUUAGGUUGUCGGGCAGUGGAUCUCCAUCUUUUACUGUGAAAAAAAUAGAGUGUUCAAAGCAGGCUUAUGCCAAUGAAUAUAUUAGCAUGGAAUAAUCAGAUAGGACCCUGGUACUAUUUGGUUGGUUUGUGUGCCAUGGUAAUGAUUAAUAGGGAUAGUUGUGGGUAUUUGUAUUGCGAUGUCAGAGGUGAAAUUCUUGGAUUUCCGCAAGACAGACAACUGCGAAAGCAUUUACCAAGGAUGUUUUCAUCA